GACGAACGCUGGCGGCGUGCUUAACACAUGCAAGUCGAACGGAAAGGCCCUGCUUUUGUGGGGUGCUCGAGUGGCGAACGGGUGAGUAACACGUGAGUAACCUGCCCUUGACUUUGGGAUAACUUCAGGAAACUGGGGCUAAUACCGGAUAGGAGCUCCUGCUGCAUGGUGGGGGUUGGAAAGUUUCGGCGGUUGGGGAUGGACUCGCGGCUUAUCAGCUUGUUGGUGGGGUAGUGGCUUACCAAGGCUUUGACGGGUAGCCGGCCUGAGAGGGUGACCGGCCACAUUGGGACUGAGAUACGGCCCAGACUGCUACGGGAGGCAGCAGUGGGGAAUAUUGCACAAUGGGCGGAAGCCUGAUGCAGCAACCCCGCGUGCGGGAUGACGGCCUUCGGGUUGUAAACCGCUUUCGCCUGUGACGAAGCGUGAGUGACGGUAAUGGGUAAAGAAGCACCGGCUAACUACGUG
This 468-nucleotide ribosomal RNA is filed under the name uncultured bacterium. RNAcentral describes it as "partial 16S ribosomal RNA". It matches the Rfam family "Bacterial small subunit ribosomal RNA", at positions 28 to 507 of the family's 1533-position model. The record is from RNAcentral.